CGGGCUGUAGCGCAGUUGGUAGCGCGCAUGGUUCGGGACCAUGAGGCCGCGGGUUCAAGUCCCGCCAGCCCGA
RNAcentral lists this transfer RNA (73 nucleotides) under Patescibacteria group bacterium. RNAcentral describes it as "tRNA-Pro". It matches the Rfam family "tRNA". From Rfam's summary of the family: Transfer RNA (tRNA) molecules are approximately 80 nucleotides in length. The record is from RNAcentral.